GUUAAUUUAUUUGGAGGCACAGCGCUCCCCCGGGGUGGCCAAGCUUGGAAGUCCUGUUCUUACAAAAUUGCUCACUGCCUCUACCCCAUGUCAGGUGCAGUUUUGGUAUCAUUUGUCUCAACAUUCAAAUCUCUCAGUUUUUACAAGAACGUCUCUAGAUGGAAACUUGCAAAAGCAAGGCAAAAUAAUCAGAUUCUCCGAAUCUCAGUGGAGCCACGCAAAAAUUGAUCUCAUUGCAGAAGCGGGAGAAUCUACUCUACCUUUUCAGUUAAUUUUGGAAGCUACUGUUUUGUCAUCAAAUGCUACCGUUGCUCUAGAUGACAUCAGUGUGUCCCAGGAAUGUGAAAUUUCCUAUAAAUCACUACCAAGGACCAGUACACAAAGCAAGUGAGCUGAAUGGACUAAUCAAGAAAAAUUUGGGUCACAUGAUUCUGGAUUGAGACGAUUAAAGAUCUUUUAAUUAAAGGUCCUUUAUUAAAGAUAUUUUUCAUUCGAGAGAGUGUAUAUUUCUGGGUGCUAACUUAUAUUGGGUUAACGUGUAUUUACUUUGUUCAGAAUGUGUAUCCUGCAUGCAUAAUAGACCAUUCUAAGCUCUGCGCAUGUGUUCAUGCAAGUGUGUGUGUGUGUGCGCAUGUGUGCGCGUGUCUGCCUGUGUGUCUGCAUAUGUGUGUGUGCA
Molecule: long non-coding RNA, 676 nt
Organism: Pan troglodytes (chimpanzee)
Lineage: Eukaryota; Metazoa; Chordata; Mammalia; Primates; Hominidae
Exons: 4
Source: RefSeq, a predicted model, not a curated record